Non-coding RNA from Oryctolagus cuniculus (rabbit), 5490 nucleotides. The record is from RefSeq and is a predicted model, not a curated record. Lineage: Eukaryota; Metazoa; Chordata; Mammalia; Lagomorpha; Leporidae.
GGGCGGGAGAGGGAAGGAGGGAGGCACCCCGGGGCGGGGAAAGGGCCCAGCAGGAAGUAAUUCGCGGCCACCCGGCAGACCAGGAAGCAAGCGUCCUGGGUUACGGGCAGGGCCACCAGGGCCACUGCUGCUCCUGUCCCUGGCUACCCCACGGUGACCGUGCCGGGACGCAAGCCUAGGCCAAGCCACAGAGCAGGGGCCGGCGAGUGACAAAUGGAGCCUCCAGAGGACGCCCGGGGCGUGGUCACAUGACAGCAGGCAGCGCGUCCCUGGGAGUGGUAAUGCAACCGCAGGCCCGUGAUGCGGCUCCGGGCUGCCUGUCUUUUCCUGCCCACCGACGCUGAGUGAGGCACGUCCGUGCAGGGGUGUCCAGGAGAACAGAUGUGUGCGCAGCCAGCAGACAACCGAGACAACGACCAGCAGUAGCCCUGAACCUGUGAAUGCCAGGGUGAGAUGCUCAGUCCUGGGAUAUCCUGUCGCAUAAAUGCUGUUGCCCCCGUUUUAUAAAUGAGGCAAGUGAGGUGCCCAGAGCUAACGGGAUCCGAUCUGCCCCAGGAAAUAGAACGGGUGCAUCGAUCGCCGGCUGUCCCCAGAGGUCGACUCAGAGAUGGGGACCAGAGCACAAAUGGUCACUUUGAGAGAGUCCCAGGAAGCACCUGUAGAGAAGUAGCAAAAGUGAAACGAAGGAAGAAAGGACCAAGAUAGGGUGCAGUGGUGAGCAGGGCACACUGUGGGCAGCCGGGGCUUGAUCCUACUGGGCGCCUGUGGGCACUGCAGAGCACAACGCAGGCACGCAUUGCUGGAGGGGAGAGUGGAGGGCUGCUCCUGGCACUGCCGGCCUGCCCCGUGUGCUUUCUGAGGCAAAACUCCCGGGACCUGAUACUACAGAGCCGUCAGGAGGGGCUGCAGGCUCCUGGAAGCAGCCAGGGCUGCAUGGCUCCGGAGCCACAUCACGCUGCCCCGAGAUAACCCUGCAAUCGCCUGGGCCCUUAGUCCUGCAGAAGGUUGCUGUACAAGUCUCCUUUCUUAGACAAGAGCUUCCUGUGCCCCUGAACCCCUCAGCACUCCUAGUCUGGAGACAUGUAUGUGACAUGUAUGUGACAUGUAUGUGACAUGUCCCCUGCUGCACAGGAGCAAGGACACAGUGGCACCCUCUUGACUGCAGAGCCAUGGAAAUGAGGUCGGCUCUUCCAGCUUCCCAGGGGAGCUCACCCGAGACCUCCCUGUGUAAAUCGCCUCCACCCUGCGCCACACCACCCGGCCCUGCUUGUCUUCUCUCCCUACGAGGCAAUGUGUGGAAGUACUCACUGAUCAUCCAGCCGAUUAGAGGGUUGCAUCGAAAACAUGUGACGGGCUCUUCCAACUCAAUCACAAGGACAAGAAACCCACCUAAAACUGGGCAACGCGAAGCUGGUGCUGUGUCACGGCAGGUUAAGCUGCCACGUCCCAUGUCAGGCACCAGUUAGCAUCCAGCUCCCUGCUAAUGCGCCUGGGAAAGCAGCAGAAGGUGAGCCGAGUAACUGGGUCCCUGCCACUCAUAUAGGAGACCCGGAUGGAGUUCUGGGCUCCUGCCUUCAGCCUGGCCCAGCCCUGGUCAUUGUGGCCAUGUGGGAAGUGAUCCAGCAGAUGGAAUACCUUUCUCUCUUUGCCUUUCAGAUAAAUAAAAUAAAUUGCCUAGAUCAAUUUAAAAAACUGGGCAAGGCAUCUGAAUAGGAAUUUCUCCAGGGAAGGUGUACAAAUGGCCAAAAUCCCAUGAGACCGUGAUCAGUCCUCAGGGUGAGAUACCAUUUCCCACCACUAGAGGGCUCUGAGCGACAAGACGGCACACUGCUGGUGGGAGUAAAAUGGUACAGUCGUCUCCCAAAAAUUCAAACUGAGCGACCGUUCGACCUAGCAACUGCACUCCCAGACACGUCCAAGAGGAACGAGAACACUCACAAAGAGACCAAGAGUACGAGCUGCAACUUUAUUGAGGGUGGCGGGAGCUGCAGGCAGCCCUGCACCAGGGAGCGCGCACCCGCACAGAGCGACGCGACUCAGCGGAAGUGAGUGAGGAGCACCGUCAGCAGAACGCGUGAAUCUCAGAUCACUGUGCUGAGCCCGGGCGGCUCUCCUGUCGGCGUAAUUCCAAGCCGAGUAGUUCAAGAACAGGAAACUGAGGGACAGAGUCACUGGCUGGGACCGAGAGGACGUGUCUGCCGUGACAGGCAGAGAGACAGAGGAUUCCCCCUAUAUGAUUCCCACUGACUGGUUCUCUCCCCAGUGCCCACAAUGGCCAGGACCAGAGCCAACAGUGGGGGACUCCAGCCAGGUCUCCCCCAACACCUGAGCCGUCGCUGCUGCCUCCCGGGUCUGCAUCUGCAGGAAGCUGGAGUCAGCAGCCGGAGCCGGGCUUUGAACCCAGGUCCUCCCAUGCGGCACGCAGGAGUCGCCACAGGCGUCUGAGCCCCCGGGCUACACUCUCGCUUCUUCUUGGAGUCUUUGAUGUGAUCCCAAGGCUUUUCCUUGGAGGAUGGGUCUGCCGACUGGAAUUCCACGAGCAUUCUCUUGGGAAAACGCCUAGGACAACCGUCUAGACUCCCAGGUCCUGUGAAGGGGGCGAGAGCCUUGGGACACUUGCAAAGCUGCCCCACCCCACCUUCCACAGUGAUCUCCCCAGGCAUACUCAGACAGUUUCAUUUACGUUUUAAUUGUGGCUAAAAACACAUCCCACAGUUUCCCAGGCGAGCCGCUCGGUAGUGCUCAGUAUACCCACGCGGCUGAGCAACAGAUUCCAGACUUUUCUACGCUGCAAAACUGAAACUCUGCACCCGUUACCCAGCAACUCCCCCCCACACACCCCCCCCAACACCAUCUGUUUUCUGUGUCUGAGUUUCACUGGCGCAGGUACCUCAGAGAAGGGGAUUCACACAGCACUGUCUUCAUACGGACAGUUUUUUUUUAAGUUUGUAUUUAAAUAUUUUCAUUGUAUUUGAAAAGCAGAGAGAGGUCUUCCAUCUGCUGGUUCACUCCCUGAAUGCCCACAACAGCCUGGGAGGGCCGGGUCAAAGCCAGGAGCCAGGAACCCCAACUGGGUCUCCCGCAUGGGUGGCAGGGACUCGGGGACCUGAUCCAUCGGCUGCUGCCUGCCAGGGUGUGCAUCAGCAGGAGCUGGAUGAGACGCCGAGUAGGGCACGACUCAACUGGGUCCCAAGUGCUGACUUAGCUGCUGCGGUGGGGGUGGGCGUGGCAUUGCAAUGCAGUUUACCCUGCUAGGAGUGCCAUCGUGGGUGCCGGUUCAAGUCCUGGCUGCCUGCUCCACUUCCUCUUUGUUUUUUCUUUUUGACAGGCAGAGUUAGACAGUGAGAGACAGACAGAGAGAAAGGUCUUCCUUCCGUUGGUUCACCCCCUAAAUGGCUGCUACGGCCAGAGCUACGCCGAUCCGAAGCCAGGAGCCAGGUGCUUCUCCUGGUCUCCCAUGCGGGUGCAGGGCCCAAGGACCUGGGCCAUCCUCCACUGCACUCCCGGGCCACAGCAGAGAGCUGGCCUGGAAGAGGAGCAACCAGGACAGAAUCCGGCGCCCCAACUGGGACUAGAACUCGGGGUGCUGGCACCGCAGGUAGAGGAAUAGCCUAGUGAGCCGUGGCUCCGGCCUCUUUUUUUAAUGAUUUAUUUAUUUAUGUAUUUAUUUGAAAAUCAGAGUUACAUAGAGAGACAGAGUAACCUUCUAUCUGCUGGUUCACUCCCCCAAAGGACCACAUGGCUGGGUCUGGGCCAGGCCAAAGCCUGAUAUUGAUUGAUUGAUGAAAGUCAGAGUUGCGGCGAGAGCUUCCAUCUGCUGCUUCACUCCCCAGUGGUGGAAACGGCCAGGGCUGGGCCAGGCUGAAGCCGGGAGCCAGGAGCUCCACGUGGUCUCUCGCAGGGAGAAGUUGAUGAGCUUUACAAAGCUGCUGGUCCACUCCCAUUGCCCUGAACUGCCAGUCACUCCUGCUUGGCCAGGAAGGCUGGGAAAUGCCUUUCAGCCGGGUGCACGGCCUCCGUGGAUGAAGUCGGGGCAAGGGAGAACGGAUACUGAGGCACGGCUCCGGCUGCACAAACACGCCGGGACCUGCCGCCAGCAAAGGAGCACGCAGGGCCCUGGCCACCCUCCUGCUCAGAGUGGGCUCCAAGGUGAUGGCUCCACGCCGGGAGGUGGGGAUGAGCACACACUGCCUUACGUCAGCGUCACUAGUCCUAGCCCCGCACUCACAGCGCUGCCUGUCAGGUGGUGGAGACCCGGAGAGAGCCUGAAUGGAUGAGUGAUUGACAGCUCUGCUGCGGGAGGAGCCUGGCCUAGCAGCACCACCGGGCAGUGCCAAAGAAGGAUGGAGCUGAUCCCUGGCUGCUUCUCCACGCUCCAGACCCUAAGGGUCUCGCAGCAACAGAAUGACAUCGUUCAUCACAGCCUGACUCAACAGGAAGUGAAAGCAGAAGUGCUUUAUGUAGGCAACGCUGGGAAAAAGCUGACACAGCCACUCCCCAUUGAAAUGAGGCAGAAAAUGUUCCAUCACACACAAUCAGAAUAAAACACUGGGCCUGCAUCCUGCCUGUCAACAAACAGCUGGGGCCUGCGGCUCUGUCUCCCUGCUUCGUUUUGGGUUUUUUUGCUGGCGUUUUUUUUUUUUUUUUUUGUGCCCCAUUUUGCAGGUCUGUGUGCAAGGUUUGCCGCUCAGAUGUGAGCCGGUGGGUAAGGAAUUGAGCCUUAUUCUGGGAAGAGGAGCGAGCAGGCCAUGGAGGGGCUGGGAGGACAGCCCAAGACAAUCCCAAGAAGUAAGGACUAUCAGCAUCACUGUGGCGCAGUGGGUAAAGCCCCCGCCUGCAGCGCCGGCAUCCCACAUGGGCUUUGGUUCGAGUCCCGGCUGCUCCACUUCCAGUCCAGCUUCCUGUUGACAUGCGUGCACCUUGGGAGGCAGCAGAUGAUGGCUCCAGUGUUUGGGCCCCUGUCACCCAUGUGGGAGAUCAGGAUGGAGUUCUAAGCUCCUGGCUUUGGCCUGCCCCAGCCCUGGCUGCUCUGGGCAUUUGGGGAGUGAACCAGAAGAUGGGAGGUCUCUCUGUCACUCCAUCUCUCUGCCUGUCAAAUAAAUACAAAUAAAUAAAUAAAUAACAAGAGGGGUGGGCACCGUGUCAUACCUGGCUAAGCUGUUACUUGGGAUGCCUGCAUCCCGUACCAAGAGUGUCUCUUUAGGCCGGCGCCGCGGCUCACUAGGCUAAUCCUCCACCUGCGGCGCCAGCACACCAGGUUCUAGUCCCGGUCAGGGCGCUGGAUUCUGUCCCGGUUGCCCCUCUUCCAAGCCAGCUCUCUGCUGUGGCCCGGGAGUGCAGUGGAGGAUGGCCCACAGUCCUUGGGCCCUGCACCCCAUGGGAGACCAGGAGAAGUACCUGGCUCCUGCCAUCAGAUCAGCGUGGUGCGUCGGCCGCAGCGCACCGGCCGUGGCAGCCAUUGGAGGGUGAACCAACGGCAAAAGGAAGACC